GACGAACGCUGGCGGCGUGCUUAACACAUGCAAGUCGAACGAAGAGGCUCCAGCUUGCUGGCGUGGAUGAGUGGCGCACGGGUGAGUAACACGUGAGGAACCUGCCCCUGACUGUGGGAUAUGCGCUGGAAACGGCGGCUCAUACUGGGUACGAGAUGUGUCAGCAUAGGCACUUUCUGGAAAGUUGGUCGGUUGGGGAUGGGCUCGAGGCCUAUCCGCUUCUUGGUGAGGUAAGGGAUCUCCAGGGCUACGACGGGUAGCCCGCCUGGGAGGGCGACCGGGCACAAUGGGACUGAGACAGGGACCAGACGCCUAUGGGAGGCAGCAGGCGGGAAUAUGGCACAAUGGCCGAACGCCAGAGGCAGCGACGCCGCGUGAGGAAUGACGGCUUUCGGGGGGUGAACCUAUUUCAGCGGAGAUAAAGCGGAAUUGACGGUACCUGCAGAAGAAGCACCGGCUAACUACGUG
This 468-nucleotide ribosomal RNA is filed under the name uncultured bacterium. RNAcentral's name for it is "partial 16S ribosomal RNA". It matches the Rfam family "Bacterial small subunit ribosomal RNA", at positions 28 to 507 of the family's 1533-position model. The record is from RNAcentral.